Long non-coding RNA from Pieris brassicae (large cabbage white), 287 nucleotides. RefSeq lists it as uncharacterized. The transcript is spliced from 2 exons. The record is from RefSeq and is a predicted model, not a curated record. NCBI's taxonomy places the organism in Eukaryota, Metazoa, Arthropoda, Insecta, Lepidoptera, Pieridae.
UUGUAUUUAUUUUCCACAUUUUACUGAUAGGUAUGGAUACUUGUUCAAACAUGCAGUCGAGUUGAAUAUCGUAACUAGAUAAUGAUAUCCAUUACCAGUCUAUAUAACCCGAUACUUGUAGAAAGAUUUAGUAUUGUGCUCUAAGUUCGACAAAAGUGAAGUGGUUGAAAGUUUGAAAUAAUAAACAACAAUGGAGUCUUCAUACAACCUGAAAGAUGUGGAAAAAUGUUUCAGACCAUAUAAUUAUUAUAAUUUAUCUGAUGAUGAAGAAGAGGUUUUAAACAUAA